AUUGAACGCUGGCGGCAUGCUUUACACAUGCAAGUCGAACGGCAGCGCGGGCUUCGGCCUGGCGGCGAGUGGCGAACGGGUGAGUAAUGCAUCGGAACGUGCCCAGUAGUGGGGGAUAGCCCGGCGAAAGCCGGAUUAAUACCGCAUACGACCUGAGGGUGAAAGCGGGGGACCGAAAGGCCUCGCGCUAUUGGAGCGGCCGAUGUCGGAUUAGCUAGUUGGUGGGGUAAAGGCUUACCAAGGCGACGAUCCGUAGCUGGUCUGAGAGGACGACCAGCCACACUGGGACUGAGACACGGCCCAGACUCCUACGGGAGGCGGCAGUGGGGAAUUUUGGACAAUGGGGGCAACCCUGAUCCAGCCAUGCCGCGUGCGGGAAGAAGGCCUUCGGGUUGUAAACCGCUUUUGUUCGGGAAGAAAUCCUCUGGGUUAAUACCCCGGGGGGAUGACGGUACCGGAAGAAUAAGCACCGGCUAACUACGUG
Molecule: ribosomal RNA, 484 nt
Filed under: uncultured bacterium
Lineage: Bacteria
Description: partial 16S ribosomal RNA
Rfam family: Bacterial small subunit ribosomal RNA
Source: RNAcentral